AAGUUUAAAUGACCAUUGUGUACUAUCAUCAGCCUCAGUGACAGAUGAUGCUUUUGGUUUGGCUGGUUUUGGCGGAGCUAAAGAUGGGACAAUUGGUGCAACUUGUUUGUUAGAUUUGAGAGGAGAUGAGGAAGGUAAGGAUGGGACAGAUGCUGCAUUUGGUUUAACCGCGUUGGGGGCUGGGGCUGGAGGUAAGCACGGGGGAACUUUUCCUUCCAACACGUGAACACCGAGUGCAUCAAGAAACAUCCCUCUCCUCCCAUGAAAACCAACAAUCAUCCCGUCACUCAGUUUUGUUGAGAAUUGUUGUCCUUGUUCUUCUCCAUAAGGUCCAUGUUUACGUUUCGUGGUAUGAAAAGUUAACGAAUGUAUAAUAUUCGGUCCCAUAAUCAUGGUUGGUCCAUAGUAGCCUGUAAUGUGAGUCAAAAUCUCUGAUGGAUAAUCAAAUAUUAUCUUUUCGGUUUUGAAACCUCCAGUACCACCAUUUUUACUUCCCCAUAUUGCUUGUCCAUUUUUGUCGUAGCAAGCUCUUACUGAAACGAUCCCCACGUUACGUGACAAGUAUACUUGCCUAAUACCAUCAUAGAUACCAUCAUCAAAGACAUUCCCUCCACUUCCACCCCAUGGACAAUAUGUCACAACACCCUUGACAGUUUUCGAUGGGACUCUUUCG
This 673-nucleotide unclassified non-coding RNA is filed under the name Hevea brasiliensis (rubber tree). Lineage: Eukaryota; Viridiplantae; Streptophyta; Magnoliopsida; Malpighiales; Euphorbiaceae. The record is from RNAcentral.